GAUGAACGCUGGCGGCGUGCCUAAUACAUGCAAGUCGAGCGAACAGACGAGGAGCUUGCUCCUUUGACGUUAGCGGCGGACGGGUGAGUAACACGUGGAUAACCUACCUAUAAGACUGGGAUAACUUCGGGAAACCGGAGCUAAUACCGGAUAAUAUUUUGAACCGCAUGGUUCAACAGUGAAAGACGGUCUUGCUGUCACUUAUAGAUGGAUCCGCGCCGCAUUAGCUAGUUGGUAAGGUAACGGCUUACCAAGGCAACGAUGCGUAGCCGACCUGAGAGGGUGAUCGGCCACACUGGAACUGAGACACGGUCCAGACUCCUACGGGAGGCAGCAGUAGGGAAUCUUCCGCAAUGGGCGAAAGCCUGACGGAGCAACGCCGCGUGAGUGAAGAAGGUCUUCGGAUCGUAAAACUCUGUUAUUAGGGUAGAACAAAUGUGUAAGUAACUAUGCACGUCUUGACGGUACCUAAUCAGAAAGCCACGGCUAACUACGUG
RNAcentral lists this ribosomal RNA (497 nucleotides) under uncultured bacterium. RNAcentral's name for it is "partial 16S ribosomal RNA". It matches the Rfam family "Bacterial small subunit ribosomal RNA", at positions 28 to 507 of the family's 1533-position model. The record is from RNAcentral.